GUGCUUGCUUCAGCAGCACAUAUACUAAAAAACUGGAAUGAUAUGGAGAAGAUUAGCAUGGCCCCUGAGCAAGGAUGACACGCAAACUCUGAAGCAUUCCAUUAAAAG
Rhinolophus ferrumequinum (greater horseshoe bat) is the source of this 108-nucleotide small nuclear RNA. The record is from Ensembl. NCBI's taxonomy places the organism in Eukaryota, Metazoa, Chordata, Mammalia, Chiroptera, Rhinolophidae.